GAUGAAGAACGGUAGCGAAAUGCGAUACGUAAUGUGAAUUGCAGAAUUCAGUGAAUCAUCGAGUCUUUGAACGCACAUUGCGCCCCCUGGUAUUCCGGGGGGCAUGCCUGUCCGAGCGUCAUUGCUGCCCUCAAGCACGGCUUGUGUGUUGGGCCUCCGUCCUCCUCCCGGGGGACGGGCCCGAAAGGCAGCGGCGGCACCGCGUCCGGUCCUCGAGCGUAUGGGGCUUCGUCACCCGCUCUUGUAGGCCCGGCCGGCGCUUGCCGACACAUCAAUCUUUUUUCCAGGUUGACCUCGGAUCAGGUAGGGAUACCCGCUGAACUUAAGCAUAUCAAUAAGCGGAGGA
This 346-nucleotide unclassified non-coding RNA is filed under the name soil metagenome. RNAcentral's name for it is "partial contains 5.8S ribosomal RNA, internal transcribed spacer 2, and large subunit ribosomal RNA". The stretch from base 1 to 121 matches the Rfam family "5.8S ribosomal RNA", at positions 35 to 154 of the family's 154-position model. The record is from RNAcentral.